Molecule: long non-coding RNA, 761 nt
Filed under: Marmota monax (woodchuck)
Lineage: Eukaryota; Metazoa; Chordata; Mammalia; Rodentia; Sciuridae
Source: RNAcentral
ACACAACCCAAUGCCUUUAUUUUUGUGUGGUGCUGAGAUCAAACCCGGGUCCCGCUCGUGCUAGGCGAUCUCUCUACUGCUGAGCCACAAAUCCCAGCCCCUUAACCUCAUUUAAAGGUACAAUGUACACAUGUAUCAAAACAUAAAGUGGCACCCCGUUAAUAUGUACAGUUUUAUGUUUUUAUGUGUCUGUUAAAAUCAAGGGCUCAGUGGUAGAGCACUUGUCUAGUAUGCAUGAGGGCCUGGGUUUGAUCUUCAGCAUCAAAAAGAAAUAAAUUUAAGAAAACCCCAAAGAACAGGCUUCCAGGAGCUCUGAACAGGGGAGCUCGUGGAGGCUUACUGGAAGACCACCAAGAACUGAUUACCCCAGCUCCACUGAAUGGAAGGUCCUGCAUUCAGGCCUCUUCCAGGCCGCACCCUGAGGAUAUCUUUUGGCUCUUUGUGUUCUUGAAAGUGUAGGUGUUCCCCUGAGUUCUGUGAGCUGUUUUGGCAAACAGCCUGAGGAGGGGCUGUGGGGAUGCACUUAGUCUCCUGUGUGUGAGGCCUGCCAGUACUGCAGGAGGCCUGCUUUGGUCCUUGCCUGCAGUGGGGGCCAACUUCCAAGACUGAACCCUCAACCUGAGGGUGCUGCCUCCGGGGAGGAGUUUUGGAGCUGAAUUAGAGUAGAGGACUGCUGUUUGCUGCUGCAGGAUGGCUUGCUUUCUGUGAGGAAAAAUUCCAUGCUUCUGGGGAUUGCAGAAGUCUGUGGUCUGUUGGUGGUG